CCGACAAAAAUGCCCAAUCUGGAGAAAUUAUGAAAAAUAAAAAGAAAAAAGUGGUAGCGACUGUGAUGGCAGCCCAACCUUCGGAGAAUGUUCUGACCUAUCAAACCUUUGCUCUGUCUCCUCCACCUUACCCACAAACUCCAACACCGUACUCAACAUCCCCCUGCCCACUACAAAUACCAUACCAAGAUCCACUAUACCAAACACCUACUCAUUACCAAGUGCACCCAC
RNAcentral lists this long non-coding RNA (231 nucleotides) under Capsicum annuum. RNAcentral describes it as "long non-coding RNA (CANN_LNC018822)". The record is from RNAcentral. Lineage: Eukaryota; Viridiplantae; Streptophyta; Magnoliopsida; Solanales; Solanaceae.